RNAcentral lists this unclassified non-coding RNA (319 nucleotides) under Hevea brasiliensis (rubber tree). Lineage: Eukaryota; Viridiplantae; Streptophyta; Magnoliopsida; Malpighiales; Euphorbiaceae. The record is from RNAcentral.
UUCAGAAUGUCUGUGAAUGUAGCCUGCAAAAGGAGAUGACAGCUUAAGUUUGCAAUGACAGCAUUAAUUAGUAGAAGACAAAAAAUAAACACAAAAUCAGAAUUCAUCUAGUUUGUUUUACACGAAAAGAAAAAUAACAAGUUCAAUUGCAAACACAUGGUUUGGGAAUAUCAACAAAAAAGACCACAAACAUGCAAAAAGCACAGUCAGACUGUUCUUUUAACAUUUUUGAAAUGACCAAAAAGCUAGCGCAUUAGAUAAUCCUCAUUUUAUCUCUCCAUGUUUUGCCAAUUCUUAAAGUACCAAAUCUUAGACAAUA